Molecule: unclassified non-coding RNA, 391 nt
Filed under: soil metagenome
Description: partial contains 5.8S ribosomal RNA, internal transcribed spacer 2, and large subunit ribosomal RNA
Rfam family: 5.8S ribosomal RNA (bases 1-122)
Source: RNAcentral
GAUGAAGAACGCAGCGAAAUGCGAUACUUGGUGUGAAUUGCAGAAUCCCGUGAACCAUCGAGUCUUUGAACGCAAGUUGCGCCCGAAGCCAUUAGGCCGAGGGCACGCCUGCCUGGGCGUCACACGUCGUUGCCCCCCCAUCUACUCCUUCGGGAUUGCGGGGGGCGGAUGAUGGCCUCUCGUGCGCCUCGUCGCGCGGUUGGCCUAAAUGCCAAGUCCUCGGCGACGCACGCCACGACAAUCGGUGGUUGCGAAACCUCGGUUGCCUGUUGUGUGCGGUCGUCGCGCAUCGAGGGCUCGAAAAAAGUGCCGGGCUUCGGCUCGACUUUCAACGCGACCCCAGGUCAGGCGGGGUUACCCGCUGAAUUUAAGCAUAUCAAUAAGCGGAGGA